Molecule: long non-coding RNA, 336 nt
Organism: Rhodamnia argentea
Lineage: Eukaryota; Viridiplantae; Streptophyta; Magnoliopsida; Myrtales; Myrtaceae
Exons: 3
Source: RefSeq, a predicted model, not a curated record
GAAUAUUCUCGAGAAUUGAGAUCUUAAUGCAGUGAUAGGAUUACAAAUUCUCAUUGAGAGGUCCUUGAUAAGAGCUGAGUUCGGAUACAUACAAGUGCAUGACUUGAUUCAAUUGAUGGGUAAAAAUAUCGUGAACCAAGAAUCCGAUGAUCCUAAGAGACGUAGCAGACUAUGGCUAUAUGAGGAUGCUCUUGAUGUCCCGUCACGUGACAUGGUAAGACUUGCACAUAAGCUCAAAACUCCGAUUCUCAUCUUUUGACUCAAAUUACUGAACAUGCAUGACUUAAAAAGCCUUGUACAUGCAGGGAGAUUGUGAUGUAAAAGCCAUAAUGUUGA